Molecule: ribosomal RNA, 200 nt
Filed under: uncultured bacterium
Lineage: Bacteria
Description: partial 16S ribosomal RNA
Rfam family: Bacterial small subunit ribosomal RNA
Source: RNAcentral
UACGUAGGGGGCAAGCGUUGUCCGGAAUCAUUGGGCGUAAAGCGCGCGUAGGUGGCCAAGUAAGUCCGCUGUGAAAGUCAAAGGCUCAACCUUUGAAAGCCGGUGGAUACUGCAUGGCUAGAGUACGGAAGAGGCGAGUGGAAUUCCUGGUGUAGCGGUGAAAUGCGCAGAUAUCAGGAAGGAACACCCGGUGGCGAAGG